CUGACUGCAACUACGGGAAGAUCUCUGGUGGUGUUUUUCUUGUGACCCUUGAUCUUCAGUAAUAGGAAGUUUAUUUUGCUUGCUUUUGAAAUGAAUAUUUCUACAGUCUUUUUCAGUUCAGUCUUUUCUCCAGGAAGCUUUGGAGUGGGACUAUAAGCAUCCACUGAAAGGAUUCUCUGCUCUACUCAACAUACUGUGACACUGACAGAAAGCUUCUGGUUGAGUGAAACCUCUAUAAAUCUACCCUUGGGUCCUGUUUCUUCCUUGAUCACAGCACAUCCCAAGUCAUCUCUGUGACAGAGCUUCCUUACUGGGGAAAUUUCAAGGUGCAAAUUGUAUGUAAAUAAUUACACCUUUUUAGCAGUCCAUCGGUUUUCUGAAAGAAGAGAUUGGUGAAGCAUUUACCAUGAAAGUAGCUUUUAGUUGAAAUUCCAUCUUCAUGGAAUGAAGUCAUGGGUGAAACUCAACAGGGUAAAAUAAUCUUUCCAGUAACAUAUGGGUACAACCUUCAGGCUGUCUGGCUUUAACCAUGAAGAUGAGGAUAUGCAGAAAGCAGAAAAAGCAAUAGCAAAAAACCAGAAUUGACUCAAAUAAGCACUUGUUUUCUGCUCUACGAAGGAUGAAUACUGUGCCUCUAUUGGAUUCCAUCUGGAUGUCAGGGCACUCCUUAAAAUCAAUAUUUUUAUACCAAAGGAUCAACCACAAACUAAACCCAGGGAAUAUUAAUUAGCAAAUGCUCCUUUGAAGGUAAAUUAAGAAUGUAGGGUGGAAUUUCUACUCAAGAUCUUUCUUUUGAUAAAUUCUGGUCCUUCAUUAUUUUUUGUUGAUGGUUUUCUGCUUCAGACCUAGAUUUAAGCGGAAUGUAAUUAAAUGUGAGUGGAUGUCUUCUGUCCAUUCUUGAGAAAGGCAAAUGAGACCCCUAAGAAUUGGCAACAUAUGCUUAGAGUACUAUUCUAAACAUUUAACAAGGCUUUUAUUAGGACCAGACAGGUUUUGUUAACAGUGUUUUUUCUUGACAAGUUUUUAUGGUUUUAAGAAAUAGUUCUUUUGUUUUUUGUUUGUUUGUUUUUAUUCUGAAGAAUACUAGUCCAGAAUGAUGCAGUAUUUCUCAGUAAUUUCAGAAUGUCUCCAAUAUUUGUAAUGCACUCUUUCUGGCAGAAUUAAUGCUUGUGUGAAUUUCAUGUUCUUAUUUAUUUAACUACUAUACAGUUUUGAAUAAUUAUUUCAUAAUA
Long non-coding RNA from Lagopus muta (rock ptarmigan), 1232 nucleotides. RefSeq lists it as uncharacterized. NCBI's taxonomy places the organism in Eukaryota, Metazoa, Chordata, Aves, Galliformes, Phasianidae. The record is from RefSeq and is a predicted model, not a curated record. The transcript is spliced from 6 exons.